Molecule: small nuclear RNA, 116 nt
Filed under: Chelydra serpentina (North American snapping turtle)
Lineage: Eukaryota; Metazoa; Chordata; Testudines; Chelydridae
Description: U2 spliceosomal RNA (ENSCSRG00000012652.1)
Rfam family: U2 spliceosomal RNA
About the family: U2 is a small nuclear RNA (snRNA) component of the spliceosome (involved in pre-mRNA splicing).
Source: RNAcentral
AGAUCUGGCCUUUUGGCUAAGACCAUGCACAGUAUCUGUUCUUAUCAGUUUAAUAUCUGAUAUGUCCUUUAUUUGAGGACUGUAUAUUAAAUUGAUUUUCAGUGUGAGAAAGCCUU